GAGUCGUAACAAGGUUUCCGUAGGUGAACCUGCGGAAGGAUCAUUAAUGAAAUGCAAGGACGUUCUUUUUAGAGGUCCGACCAACUCAUUUUCACACUGUGCACAACACUACACUUUACACAGUUUUAAACCCAUAUAAGUAUAAGAAUGUCAACAGUCUCUUUAUUGAGCAUAAACAAUACAAAA
Molecule: unclassified non-coding RNA, 186 nt
Filed under: plant metagenome
Description: partial contains small subunit ribosomal RNA and internal transcribed spacer 1
Rfam family: Eukaryotic small subunit ribosomal RNA (bases 1-46)
Source: RNAcentral